AUCAGAAUAGCUUAAUUAAAGCUUUGAUUUUGUAAUUCAAAGAUAGGUGUCCCCUUUCUGGUA
RNAcentral lists this transfer RNA (63 nucleotides) under Radix auricularia. RNAcentral describes it as "tRNA-Thr". It matches the Rfam family "tRNA". Rfam says of the family: Transfer RNA (tRNA) molecules are approximately 80 nucleotides in length. Their secondary structure includes four short double-helical elements and three loops (D, anti-codon, and T loops). The record is from RNAcentral. Lineage: Eukaryota; Metazoa; Mollusca; Gastropoda; Lymnaeidae.